This 468-nucleotide ribosomal RNA is filed under the name uncultured bacterium. RNAcentral's name for it is "partial 16S ribosomal RNA". It matches the Rfam family "Bacterial small subunit ribosomal RNA", at positions 28 to 507 of the family's 1533-position model. The record is from RNAcentral.
GACGAACGCUGGCGGCGUGCUUAACACAUGCCAGUCGAACGGAAAGGCCCUGCUUUUGUGGGGUGCUCGAGUGGCGAACGGGUGAGUAACACGUGAGUAACCUGCCCUUGACUUUGGGAUAACUUCAGGAAACUGGGGCUAAUACCGGAUAGGAGCUCCUGCUGCAUGGUGGGGGUUGGAAAGUUUCGGCGGUUGGGGAUGGACUCGCGGCUUAUCAGCUUGUUGGUGGGGUAGUGGCUUACCAAGGCUUUGACGGGUAGCCGGCCUGAGAGGGUGACCGGCCACAUUGGGACUGAGAUACGGCCCAGACUCCUACGGGAGGCAGAAGUGGGGAAUAUUGCACAAUGGGCGGAAGCCUGAUGCAGCAACGCCGCGUGCGGGAUGACGGCCUUCGGGCUGUAAACCGCUUUCGCCUGUGACGAAGCGUAAGUGACGGUAAUGGGUAAAGAAGCACCGGCUAACUACGUG